Molecule: ribosomal RNA, 2828 nt
Filed under: mouse gut metagenome
Description: bacterial LSU rRNA
Rfam family: Bacterial large subunit ribosomal RNA
Source: RNAcentral
CAAAGAGCGCAGGGCGAAUGCCUUGGCACUGGGAGCCGAAGAAAGACGCGAUAAGCUGCGAUAAGCCACGGGGAGCCGCAAAUAGGCGUUGAGCCGUGGAUUUCUGAAUGGAGAAAUCCGGCCGGAGUAAAGUCCGGUCAUCAUACGCUGAAUUCAUAGGCGUAUGAGGGGAACCGCCUGAACUGAAACAUCUAAGUAGGGCGAGGAAAAGAAAUCAACCGAGAUUCCGUAAGUAGUGGCGAGCGAACGCGGAAGAGGCCAAACCGAGGAUAGCAAUAUCUUCGGGGUUGCGGACUGCAUUUAGUAUUGCCGAAGUCUAGGAGAACCCCAUGGGAAGGGGGACCGAAGAGGGUGAGAGUCCCGUAUCCGAAAGGCGGAAGCAGCGAGCAGUAUCCAGAGUACCGCGGGACACGAGGAAUCCCGUGGGAAGCCGGGGGGACCACCCUCCAAGCCUAAACACUACCCAGUGACCGAUAGCGCAUAGUACUGUGAAGGAAAGGUGAAAAGGACCCCGGAAGGGGAGUGAAAUAGAACCUGAAACCCUGUGCUUACAAGCACCGAGAGCCCGUCAACGGGUAAUCGGGUACUUUUUGUAGAACGGUCCGGCGAGUAUAUUUAACUGGCAAGGUUAAGGGCCUCAGGUCUGAAGCCGAAGCGAGAGCGAGUCUGAAUAGGGCGUAUAGUCAGUUGGAUAUGACCCGAAACCGGGUGACCUAUCCAUGAUCAGGUUGAAGUGGGCGUAAAAGCCCAUGGAGGACCGAACCGACCUCCGUUGAAAUGGCGGCGGAUGAAUUGUGGAUAGCGGAGAAAUUCCAAUCGAACCCGGAUAUAGCUGGUUCUCCCCGAAAUAGCUUUAGGGCUAGCGUUGUAUUAGAUUACCGGAGGUAAAGCACUGAAUAGGCUAGGGGCCGAGAGGCUACCGACCCUUAUCAAACUCUGAAUGCCGGAUAAUUGAUGUACAGCAGUCAGACAGUGUGAGAUAAGUUUCAUUGUCAAAAGGGAAACAGCCCAGACCCACAGCUAAGGUCCCAAAUGUACGUUAAGUGGAGAAGGAUGUGGAAUUGCACAGACAACCAGGAUGUUGGCUUAGAAGCAGCCACACAUUCAAAGAGUGCGUAACAGCUCACUGGUCGAGUGAUUCCGCGCCGAAAAUUUAACGGGGCUAAACGUACAACCGAAGCUUGGGCUGCAUCGAAAGAUGCGGGGUAGGGGAGCGUCGUGUAACGGGGUGAAGCAUGAGCGUAAGCGCGUGUGGACUUUACACGAGUGAGAAUGCCGGAAUGAGUAGCGCGAUUUAUGUGAGAAUCAUAAAGGCCGAAAGCCUAAGGUUUCUGGAGGAAGGUUCGUCCGCUCCAGGUUAGCCGGGAGCUAAGGUGAGGCGGAAACGCGUAGCCGAUGCACAUACGGUGGAGAUUCCGUAGCUGUCGAAGGAUUUAAGCAGGGGGACACUGAAGAAGGCUUCAACCCAGGCGUUGGUAGACCUGGGCGAAAGGGACCGAAAAUAGAGUAGGGAAGUGAAGUUGGAAUCAGGCGAGAAAAGCCCUGUGAAUAUCUGAGACACCCGUACCGCAAACCGACACAGGUAGGUAGGAAGAGGAUUCUAAGGCCAACGGGAGAAGGGUUGUUAAGGAACUCGGCAAGUUGACCCCGUAACUUCGGAAUAAGGGGUGCUCAACGGAAGUUGAGCCGCAGAGAAUAGGUCCAGGCAACUGUUUAGCAAAAACACAGCUCUAUGCUAAAUCGCAAGAUGAUGUAUAUGGGGUGACGCCUGCCCGGUGCUGGAAGGUUAAGAGGAGGAGUGAGAGCUUCGAAUCGAAGCCCCAGUAAACGGCGGCCGUAACUAUAACGGUCCUAAGGUAGCGAAAUUCCUUGUCAGGUAAGUUCUGACCCGCACGAAUGGCGUAAUGAUCUGGACACUGUCUCAACAGCCCACCCGGCGAAAUUGUAGUACCGGUGAAGAUGCCGGUUACCCGCGACAAGACGGAAAGACCCCAUGGAGCUUUACUGCAGCCUAAUAUUGGAUUUCGGUAUCUCAUGUACAGAAUAGGUGGGAGGCUGGGAAACAGGGGCGUCAGCUUCUGCGGAGCCACCGUUGGGAUACCACUCUUGAGGUACUGGAAUUCUAACCUGCGGCCAUGAAUCUGGUCGGGGGACAUUGUUAGGCGGGCAGUUUGACUGGGGCGGUCGCCUCCAAAAGAGUAACGGAGGCGCUCAAAGGUUCGUUCAGCACGGACGGAAAUCGUGCAUUGAGUGUAAACGCAUAAACGAGCCUAACUGCGAGACCGACGGGUCGAGCAGUAACGAAAGUUGGAGUUAGUGAUCCGGUGGUAUGUGAGUGGAAAUGCCAUCGCUCAACGGAUAAAAGCUACCCUGGGGAUAACAGGCUGAUCUCCCCCAAGAGUUCACAUCGACGGGGAGGUUUGGCACCUCGAUGUCGGCUCAUCGCAUCCUGGGGCUGAAGUAGGUCCCAAGGGUUGGGCUGUUCGCCCAUUAAAGCGGUACGCGAGCUGGGUUCAGAACGUCGUGAGACAGUUCGGUCCCUAUCUGUCGUGGGCGCAGGAUAUUUGAGUGGAGCUGUCCCUAGUACGAGAGGACCGGGAUGGACGCACCACUGGUGCACCAGUUGUCGUGCCAACGGCACAGCUGGGCAGCUAAGUGCGGAUCGGAUAAACGCUGAAGGCAUCUAAGCGUGAAACCGGCCACAAGAUAAGAUAUCCCACUAGGUUAACUAGGUAAGACCCCUUGAAGACUACAAGGUAGAUAGGCACGAAGUGAAAGCGUUGUGAGGCGUUUAGCUAGCGUGUACUAAUCGGUCGAGGGCUUGACCA